CCUACGGGAGGCAGCAGUGGGGAAUUUUGGACAAUGGGCGCAAGCCUGAUUCAGCCAUGCCGCGUGUGGGAAGAAGGCCUUCGGGUUGUAAACCACUUUUGUCAGGGAAGAAACGGCCUUUACUAAUAUUAGGGGCUAAUGACGGUACCUGAAGAAUAAGCACCGGCUAACUACGUGCCAGCAGCCGCGGUAAUACGUAGGGUGCAAGCGUUAAUCGGAAUUACUGGGCGUAAAGCGUGCGCAGGCGGCUUUGCAAGACAGAUGUGAAAUCCCCGGGCUCAACCUGGGAACUGCAUUUGUGACUGCAUGGCUAGAGUACGGUAGAGGGGGAUGGAAUUCCGCGUGUAGCAGUGAAAUGCGUAGAUAUGCGGAGGAACACCGAUGGCGAAGGCAAUCCCCUGGACCUGUACUGACGCUCAUGCACGAAAGCGUGGGGAGCAAACAGGAUUAGAUACCCUGGUAGUCCGACCGACCUAACCGACUAGUCACUAGGUUGGUUGGUACGGUCGUUCGUCGUCGUUCGUACGUAACGUAACGACGUAACCGUACGGUAGGUAAGUUAGUACCGGCCCGUCGGGGUAGGGUACGGGCCGGCCGACGGUUAGGUAAACGUACGUAAACGUAGUAAGUUAGUACGGCGUGAGACGUACGACCGACGGACGACGACGAGGGAGGAGGG
RNAcentral lists this ribosomal RNA (679 nucleotides) under uncultured bacterium. Its description in RNAcentral is "bacterial SSU rRNA". The stretch from base 1 to 539 matches the Rfam family "Bacterial small subunit ribosomal RNA", at positions 338 to 873 of the family's 1533-position model. The record is from RNAcentral.